GUGGUGUUUGUUUUUUAUUUUUUCUAUUCAGCUAAAAGUAACAUGUUGACAUCAUCCAAUAUAACUAAACUGAACCUAUUGAUAACAAGUUCAUUUUAGCUAUGUUGGAUGAUGUCAAUAAGUUACUUUUAACUAAAUAAAAAAAGCCAAAAAACAAACACCAC
Non-coding RNA from Vitis vinifera (wine grape), 164 nucleotides. The record is from RefSeq and is marked provisional. Lineage: Eukaryota; Viridiplantae; Streptophyta; Magnoliopsida; Vitales; Vitaceae.